GACGAACGCUGGCGGCGUGCUUAACACAUGCAAGUCGAACGGAAAGGCCCUGCUUUUGUGGGCUGCGCGGGUUGCGGACGGGUGAGUAACACGUGAGUAAGCUGCCCUUGACUGUGGGAUAACUUCAGGCAACUGGGGCUAAUACCGGAUAGGAUCUCCUGCUGCAUGGUGGGGGUGGGAAAGUUUCGGCGGUUGGGGAUGGACUAGCGGCUUAUUAGCUUGUUGGGUGGGUAGUGGCUUACCAAGGCUUUGAAGGGUAGCCGGCCUGAGAGGGGGACAGGCCAAGUCGCGACUGAGCUACGGCACAGACCACUACGGGACGCAGCAGUGGAGAAGAUUACACAAUGGGAUGAAGCAUGAUGUAGCAAAGCAGCGUGCGGGAUGACGGGCUUCGCGUUGUAAACUGCUUUCGCCUGUGACGAAGCGUGAGUGACGGUAAUGGGUAAAGAAGCACCGGCUAACUACGUG
This 468-nucleotide ribosomal RNA is filed under the name uncultured bacterium. RNAcentral describes it as "partial 16S ribosomal RNA". It matches the Rfam family "Bacterial small subunit ribosomal RNA", at positions 28 to 507 of the family's 1533-position model. The record is from RNAcentral.